This 420-nucleotide ribosomal RNA is filed under the name uncultured bacterium. RNAcentral describes it as "partial 16S ribosomal RNA". It matches the Rfam family "Bacterial small subunit ribosomal RNA", at positions 361 to 773 of the family's 1533-position model. The record is from RNAcentral.
AUAUUGGACAAUGGGGGCAACCCUGAUCCAGCCAUGCCGCGCGUGUGAAGAAGGUCUUCGGACUGUAAAGCACUUUAAGUUGGGCGGUAGGGCUUUAGGUUAAUACCCUUAAGUUUUGACGUUACCAACAGAAUAAGCACCGGCUACCUCUGUUCCAGCAGCCGCGGUAAUACAGAGGGUGCAAGCGUUAAUCGGCAUUACUGGGCGUAAAGCGCGCGUAGGUGGUUCAGUAAGAUGGGUGUGAAAACCCCGGGCUUAACCUGGGAACUGCUUUCAUAAAUGAUGAGCUAGAGUACGGUAGAGGGUAGUGGAAUUUCCUGUGUAGCGGUGAAAUGCGUAGAUAUAGGAAGGAACACCAGUGGCGAAGGCGACUACCUGGACUGAUACUGACACUGAGGUGCGAAAGCGUGGGGAGCAAAC